This is a long non-coding RNA of Macaca mulatta (Rhesus monkey), 2926 nucleotides long. The record is from Ensembl. NCBI's taxonomy places the organism in Eukaryota, Metazoa, Chordata, Mammalia, Primates, Cercopithecidae.
AUGAUUUCUAUGAUUCUAGGGUCCCUCUUCUCUGAGACACCACAAGUACCAGCUGCUUGGAAGGCCUCUGCACUUCCAGCUCCCUGCCUACUUCUUGCCAUCAGCCCACUGCCUUCACCUGCCUCACUCCCUCUCCCUCUGCUGCACUGGCCCUUCAGGAAUAGUCCAUGCUUGAAGCUCUGCGUGUUCACCUACUCCCCAUCCAUCCCUUCCCAACCCAGAGCUGACAGAUUCACAGGGACCUGGGGGCCUAUGGAAGCAGGGAAGGAAGGAAGGAAGGAAGGAAGGAAGGAAGGAAGGAAGGAAGGAAGGAAGGAAGGAGGGAAGGAAACUAAUUAGGAUUUGGGGCAAGUCAUCCAACCUUAAUUGAAAUUCAUUUGCAUUUAUCUAUAAAAAUAUAAAAUGUUAUUCCUGGUACUCUUUCUUGGUAUGUUGUGGUUUAUCCUCCCUAUUCCUGUCCCUUGAGUCAUAUUUCGACUUUUCUUUACACAUCUGUAAGUGUGCUACUAAAUAAAAAUUGGGUAGAGUAACACCAGCCAGAAUACAUAUCACUUCCUUUUGCUCCAAAACUGAGAGGAAGAAAACAAUGGGGUGCCAUUUUAGACACACUGCAUGAACAAAAAAGAAAACUGCUUUUUCUUUGUUUCUUUUUAAAAAUAAUACCCAAUGCCAGGCAAGGCCACAGCAGAAAGGCAUUUUAAAAACCAUAAAAAUAUUCAUGUUUUUUUGACCCUGUCAUCCCACUUCACAAACUAUCUUGAGGAAAUAAUCCAAAAUGGGGGAAAAAACAAGUUCAAUAGUAAAGAAAUAGUUUAGCAAAGUAAUCUGCCCAAUCGAUUAAGUAGUCAUAAAUAUGAUAAAUAUGAAGGGUAUAUUGCAACAUGGAAAAGUACUUAGUAUAUAAACAAAGUGUCUUCCUACAGUAACAAUACUCAAUAUUGAAAGGUGACAGAUAUCAACAGUACAGUGCAGUGGCUCACGCCUGUAAUCCCAGCACUUUGGGAGGCCGAGGCGGGCAGAUCACCUGACGUCAGGAGUUCAAGACCAGGCUGACCAAAAUGGUGAAACCCUGUCUCUACUAAACAUAUGAAAAUUAGCUGGGCGUGGUGGCAGGUGCCUGUAAUCCCGGCUACUCGGGAGGCUGAGGCAGGAGACACACUUGAACCCAGGAGGCAGAGGUUGCAGUGAGCCAAGAUCACACCACUGCACUCCAGCCUGGGCGACAGAGCGAGAUUCUGUCUCAAAAAAAAAAAAAAAAGAAAGAAAGAAAGAAAGAAAAGUGACAGCUAUAAAGUCCUGUACUUCUGCUGUGAUGCUAUGGAUGAAUUCAAGCACCAAAGGGGAAUGUGGUAACCACAAGGAAGAGCUUCGAAUGAAUGCACAAUUAUUCUAAAUAAGUUUGAAUCAAUAAGCAUGAAUAAGUGUGAAGCUCCUCAGCAUGUUUUAAAUGAGUAAGUAUUGCUAAUUUUUAAAUUGUCAUUUUAUUAAAAAAUCAUUUUCAGAAAUGUUUGUCCACAGGAAGAAAGGGUAAUCACAAAUUAAUAAUUGUACUUUUGUGUACAUCUAUAUUCUUAAGGCUAGGUAUUUAAUUAAGGACUUCUUCCUCACAAGUGAAACAACAUGAAAAUAGGUAAUAAGCCUUGCUUCCUGCUAUGAACCUCAACAUAUAAUGAUAAAAUAUAAAGAAAUGCCAUUGGCCGGGCGCGGUGGCUCAAGCCUGUAAUCCCAGCACUUUGGGAGGCCGAGACGGGCGGAUCACUAGGUCAGGAGAUCGAGACCAUCCUGGCUAACACGGUGAAACCCCGUCUCUACUAAAAAAUACAAAAAACUAGCCGGGCGAGGUGGCGGGCGCCUGUAGUCCCAGCUACUCAGGAGGCUGAGACAGGAGAAUGACGUAAACCCGGGAGGCGGAGCUUGCAGUGAGCUGAGAUCCGGCCACUGCACUCCAGCCUGGGCGACAGAGCAAGACUCCGUCUCAAAAAAAAAAAAAAAAAAAGAAAUGCCAUUUAAGAGUCCGUAAGAAGGCAGCUUCUUAAAGGACAGUUCUAGAGAACAGAUGUCAAAAUCACAGUUCUUUAUUUUGUGUGUGUGAUACGAACAGUACCCAGAAUUUACUUUGGAGGUUUCUCACACCCACGAUUUAAUUUUAAAACUGAUAUGCAAACAUGAUCCCAUGAUGGUAUCUCCUCUCUUCCAUACGCUAUGAAGUCAAGAAGAAUAUGGGCUUAGCUCUCUGAAGGACACAAAACAGGCAUACAGUGUAGUCCCUGCUCUCAAGGAGAUGCCAAUCUAGUUGGGGAGACUGCUAAAAAAGUCAGGAGACAAGCUUGAACUUAGUGAGUAGUUUAGCUUUCAGAGACUUAGAAAACACACUGAAUAACGAGCAAGACCACAUUAUGGAAGCUCCCAACACCAAGGUGAGCUUAGACCUUGACGGAGGAGGAAGUAUGAUGCUAUUACAAUUUUUGAAUAGGGAAAAUGGCAUUAUCGCCCUGUUUAUUUUGUUUUAUUUUAUUUUCAUUUUAUUUUUGAGGCAGGGUCUUGCUCUGUCACCCAGGCUGGAGUUGCAGUGGCACUAUCUUGGCUCACUACACCCUUGAUCUCCUGGGCUCAAGUGAUCCAACCACUUCCUGAGUAGCUGGGACCACAGGCACACACCACCAUUCCUGGUUAUGUCUUUUAAAAUAUUUUUUGUAGAGACAAGAUUUCAUCAUGUUGCCCAAGCUGGUUUCGAACUUCUGGGCUUAAGUGAUCUGCCUGCCUUGGCCUCCCAAAGUGCUGGGGCUAUAGACAUGAGCCACCGUGCCCGGCCUAUUACACUGUUUAAACCCUUCAACUUCCCACCACUCCCACAAUAAAACAAAGUCCUUAAUAUCAUUUACAAGAUCCUCAUAAGAUCUGACUGUUCCUUUCCUUUCCUUCCUGC